GAUGAACGCUGGCGGCGUGCCUAAUACAUGCAAGUCGAGCGAACGGACGAGAAGCUUGCUUCUCUGAUGUUAGCGGCGGACGGGUGAGUAACACGUGGAUAACCUACCUAUAAGACUGGGAUAACUUCGGGAAACCGGAGCUAAUACCGGAUAAUAUUUUGAACCGCAUGGUUCAAAAGUGAAAGACGGUCUUGCUGUCACUUAUAGAUGGAUCCGCGCUGCAUUAGCUAGUUGGUAAGGUAACGGCUUACCAAGGCAACGAUGCAUAGCCGACCUGAGAGGGUGAUCGGCCACACUGGAACUGAGACACGGUCCCGGCUCCUACGGGAGGCAGCAGUAGGGAAUCUUCCGCAAUGGGCGAAAGCCUGACGGAGCAACGCCGCGUUAGUGAUGAAGGGCUUCGGAUCGGAAAACUCUGUUAUUAGGGAAGAACAUUUGUGUAAGUAACUGUGCACAUCUUGACGGUACCUAAUCAGAAAGCCACGGCUAACUACGUG
Molecule: ribosomal RNA, 497 nt
Filed under: uncultured bacterium
Lineage: Bacteria
Description: partial 16S ribosomal RNA
Rfam family: Bacterial small subunit ribosomal RNA
Source: RNAcentral